GAAUAAGUACUGCAAAGGAACAGAUUGUUUUAUAAAUAUAGUUAUAGUAAAGAUUUACUCUUCUACC
This 67-nucleotide transfer RNA is filed under the name Lunella aff. cinerea STW-2013. RNAcentral describes it as "tRNA-Tyr". The record is from RNAcentral. Lineage: Eukaryota; Metazoa; Mollusca; Gastropoda; Trochida; Turbinidae.